GACUCCGUAGCUCAGCUGGUAGAGCAAUUGACUCUUAAUCAAUGGGUCGAGAGUUCGAAUCUCUCCGGGGUCACAA
Molecule: transfer RNA, 76 nt
Filed under: Chryseolinea serpens
Lineage: Bacteria; Pseudomonadati; Bacteroidota; Cytophagia; Cytophagales; Fulvivirgaceae
Also listed under: 1 other name
Description: tRNA_Lys_CTT
Rfam family: tRNA
About the family: Transfer RNA (tRNA) molecules are approximately 80 nucleotides in length. Their secondary structure includes four short double-helical elements and three loops (D, anti-codon, and T loops).
Source: RNAcentral